ACCAAGUACACCAGCUCCAAGUGAGCCCGCCAAGUGAACGGCUUCAGCAGUCUCCUCCUUGACUUAUACUCCCAACUGCCUUCCAAACCCUGGCUGCAGGAAAGAAAACGGAGGAGAAGUGGAGAUCAUGUUGGGGGAAGUUCUGAGUUCCUGACCUUCAUUUUGCUGGCGUGGGCAAGUGGCACUACACAGGGGAAAAGGCUCUCUUUGCUUUACUUGAACAGCAGCAUUUGAGUGACUUUUCCUUUCAUAACCGUGACACCUGCUAUCAUGGAUAAGGAACAGGAAUUGUGGAAAAGUGAAGGACUAACAUUUUAGAAUUUUGUCUAAAAGUUCAACCAUGAAGGUUAAGCUGUGUUUCGUCAGUACAAAACAUUAUGUCUCACAGCCAAGUUAUGGCUACUUUUUGGGAAAGACGGAGGAGCAUAGGGGGAAGAAUAAAGGUGAGAGAAUUGGAGAGAGACUCAGAAAAAGAACGGAAGAAGCAAAUGGCUACUAUGAAAGGAGAGACAGAGCCUGAAGACCCAAGAGAAGCCAGAGAAUGCUAGUCGGAGAAAGCUGAAAGGGAAAGAGUGAGAUGAGGGGAUAGAUCUCGUCAUGUUUGGGAUGCUUGAUCUGGGUGUACCACCUGUUACACACCUGUUACACUCCCCACAUUUCUUGGGUGUCGGGGUGAGUGGAUGGAUUACAACACAACCACAUCUGGGAGACACUCUCUGACCAGCACAAGUAAGAUGGCGCCCUUCUAUCCCAUUCUUAACUUAUUCUGUUCAUUCUUCUUCAUUACACUUAGCAAAACUGA
Long non-coding RNA from Enhydra lutris kenyoni (northern sea otter), 802 nucleotides. RefSeq lists it as uncharacterized. The transcript is spliced from 2 exons. Lineage: Eukaryota; Metazoa; Chordata; Mammalia; Carnivora; Mustelidae. The record is from RefSeq and is a predicted model, not a curated record.